This is a long non-coding RNA of Saccostrea echinata, 256 nucleotides long. RefSeq lists it as uncharacterized. The transcript has 3 exons. Lineage: Eukaryota; Metazoa; Mollusca; Bivalvia; Ostreida; Ostreidae. The record is from RefSeq and is a predicted model, not a curated record.
CUCCAGGAUGGUGGCUGAAGCUCAUCUCCUAUGUAAACACCUAAAUGCCAAGUCUGGACUUCAAAAACAGUUUCUGAAAGUUUAACCAGCAUUAUGGACAAAAAGUAUACACUUCGAACAGACACAAAAACAUAUAGGUCCAUGCCAAGCUAUGAAAGAUUUAUGCUGAGGAUGAAAGGGAAUUGCAGAAGAAUGAAUUGAUGUUAACAUCUCAACAUUAAAAUUGGCUUAAAUUUGAUUAUGUCUUUUGUUGUGA